GAUGAACGCUAGCGGCAGGCCUAACACAUGCAAGUCGAGGGGUAACAGGGAUUAGCUUGCUAAUUUGCUGACGACCGGCGCACGGGUGCGUAACGCGUAUACAAUCUACCUUAUACAAGGGUAUAGGCUGAAGAAAUUCGGAUUAAUCCCCUAUGUGAUAUAUGUAUUACCUGAUGUAUAUAUUAAAGUGAUUAGCGGUAUAAGAUGAGUAUGCGUCCUAUUAGCUAGCUGGUAAGGUAACGGCUUACCAGGGCUAUGAUAGGUAGGGGCCCUGAGAGGGGGAUCCCCCACACUGGUACUGAGACACGGACCAGACUCCUACGGGAGGCAGCAGUGAGGAAUAUUGGACAAUGGAGGCAACUCUGAUCCAGCCAUGCCGCGUGCAGGAAGACUGCCUUUAUGGGUUUGUAAAACUGCUUUUAAACAGGAAGAACUCCACUUACGUGUAGGUGGCUGACGGUACUGUAAGAAUAAGCAUCGGCUAACUCCGUG
RNAcentral lists this ribosomal RNA (492 nucleotides) under uncultured bacterium. RNAcentral's name for it is "bacterial SSU rRNA". It matches the Rfam family "Bacterial small subunit ribosomal RNA", at positions 28 to 507 of the family's 1533-position model. The record is from RNAcentral.